This is a long non-coding RNA of Trichosurus vulpecula (common brushtail), 2427 nucleotides long. RefSeq lists it as uncharacterized. The record is from RefSeq and is a predicted model, not a curated record. Lineage: Eukaryota; Metazoa; Chordata; Mammalia; Diprotodontia; Phalangeridae. The transcript is spliced from 2 exons.
UCUUCUGAGCUGUGGAGGCAUGAUUGUGCUGGUCUGUGGUCCAUCCCCCAGAACUUUGUCCAGUCUCCCUUCAGUAUAGAUUGUGCCCCAUUUGUCUCUGCUUCUCUAAUGAAGGAGGGGGGAAGGAAUGCACCAUGUUUGUCUUCAUGCAUCCCUCAGUGACUGGCCUGGUGCUUGGCACAUAGUAUUUAACGAAUGGACUCACAGUGAUGGCGUGUGUGAAGAAUCUUUUUUUGCUCCCCAUGUGUGAUUUCAUCAUUGCGGGGAACUCCUCGCAUGGAAAUUUCUCCCACUGUUCCCUUUGUACCUGAUAGCAUGUGGCACUGAGAGUUUGGCUUGCUCAUCAUUUGCUCAUGGUCAUAUAGGAAAUGUGUUAGAGGAAGGACUAGAACCCAGGACUUCUUGACUCUGAUGCCAUCCCUCUAUCUUCCAGGUCAUGCUUACUUCCAUUUUUGUAGCUUUGAAAGCAACUUCUCCACCAGUAUCCUCUGAGAAGAGGAGAGUCUGCUACAGGAGGGAGUCUUUGGAAGUCCCCUGACAGAAUCUUCUCAUUUCAUGCUAACCUCUUUCUCCACAAGAUCACAUACCUGACGUGCAUCUUCCUGAGUCAGCCCCUGGGGUUGCAGUUUGUACAUCACUGUGUGGCAGAAGGAAGGACACCUGUUCUUCCAGGACCAUCUCUUGCUUGAGAGAGUCACCCUCUUCAAUCAAGGACCUUUUCAUCUGCAGGUGUGCUUGAAUCCAGUAUUCUCUGCACUAUAUCAUGCUGCCUCAACUACCAGCUCUCUCAUUUUACAGAUGAUGAAACUGAGUCCCAGACCAGUUAAAGGACUUUGCCCAUUAUCUCAUAGGUAGCACCUGGAAGAGUUAGGUUUGAACUCAGGCGUUAUGACCAGUUCGCACCUGACACUUUCUUCCUCUCGAUGCUGUUAAGUUGAUCAGUCUUAGAGGAAGAGUUAGAAAGAGUCUAGUCCUACUAUAUUUUUUAAGUGAGGAAACUGAGGCCCAGAGAAGUCAAAUAAUCAUGAAGUUAAUUAAUCAAAAAUUUAAUAAGGACUGAUUAGAAAGAUUUCCUGGUCUCUGGAGGUUUACCAUUGGGGAAAAUAAUGUACAUGGUGGGAUUUCAACCCCAGUUAUUGGGCUCCCAAGCCAGCCCUCUCUUCCACUACCCUCGGCUAUCUCUCUCUUCCAUGUUCUUGCCAAUAGCCUUGAUUUAUACACCCAUUAAAUCAUCUCCCCCCAUUUCUCCUGCACCCCCAAGCCAGAUUUUCCUUUUUUUUUUCUUCUGGAGAAACAAGUCACUGACAUGUUCUCAUGGCAGAGAAUGGACCCCACCUUGAGAGGGGCAAACUCUUCUCCUUCUUCUAUGCCUUCACUUCUCCUCAACCCAGACUUCUCUCCUCUGCCUCUCUGUUCUGCCCCCUCCUCCCUCAGGGUGAGGGGAAUAGAUGCAACCCUGGGGUUUCGCUUCUAGCCAAAAGAUCAACCUUUGGCUUCAAGAUGGAAACACAUUUGAGAUUCAGACAAGGAAGGGGUGCGUAAGCUCAGUGGAUCACUAUGGAUUUGUACUUGAAUUUUUUCUCUUAAAUUUCAAUUUAAAAGCCAGCUUGUCAUCCAAGAGGGUGUUUCUCCUUUUUCCACUUUGAUCAUCUCCAGUGAAACAGGGAUGCUUGGCAGUGGCAGUUUAUUGCUUGGCCUUACAAAAAAUUCAAAGGCAGCCAUGAUCCCUGGGAGGAAGAGAGGCAAGCUCUUUUUUUAUUGGUGCUGCAGCACAUGUCUGAACUGGGAGGAAUUCAGCUUCAUUGUGGGGAGGAGAAGGGAAGCAAAGAGUCCUGGUAGGAGUUACUUCCUCCUCAGCGAUUUCUCCGUCUCUAUUAUUCCCCUCUCUCACCCUUUAACAACCUCUACUAAGCCUCAGUCUGGGAAAUGGAGAGACAAAGAAUGUUUUGAUUAAAAUAUAUUAUUGGACAAGUUGCUGAGUUUUGACUUCCACAGAAAUGAAAACACCUUUGAGAGCUCUAGAAAAAUACUGUCCCAGGGGAGUUGGGCCUUUGCUUUGAAUACUUCCUUUAAUUAAUAAAUCAACAGAAGAACAAUUGUGGUUUGAAGCACUGUGCAUAGGAUUAUGGGCAGAGAUGUAACUAAGGUAGUGCAAUCAAAGCUUUGGCUCAGGGUACAGAAAUUUGGAAAGUAUUUACCUUGUGUGUGAGAGAAAAAAAAGAAAACCUAAUCUUAGAGCCUAGCUAGCAGGAAUUAGUUAAAAUAGGGAGCUGAGAUGGGAAAGAUGGCCUUCUUCCCUGGUCACUGCAUCCCAGGUCAGUUCCUUCCACUAUGUUAAUUCCCCUAGUGAUUGCUUCCUGAGAAGCAAUGUCUGAAUAUCCCCAUUCUUCAGCUAAAUUUGUCAUUAAAAGUUUGAUUUGAAAAUGC